AAUCCCUUCAAAUAGCUUGUUGACAUAAUGAAGACCAAAUAAUAAACGACUGCUAUUGUCGCUUUGUUGUCGUGGACUAUUAAAGUUUACGGACGAAAUAAUGUCUAGUUGUCAUGUUGCAAAAUAUUAAUUCCAUUUCUUAUCGCCGUGUUUUUUAUACCUAUUUGUCCCUUAUUUACACGUAUGUAUUAAUAUCAUUUGAACGAAUGCAUUAAUAUAUGAGUUAUAGAAAAUUGGCGGAUUAUCUUCGAAAAAUAUUUUGACUCAAUUUGAAUCGUGUUACUCAACCCAUUAUAAUAAACGAACCUCAUGAAAUCGUUUACCGCUUCUCCUUAAUCCAUUUGUGUAAUACUGAAUGC
This is a non-coding RNA of Schizosaccharomyces pombe (fission yeast), 359 nucleotides long. The record is from the annotation of a GenBank genome assembly. Lineage: Eukaryota; Fungi; Ascomycota; Schizosaccharomycetes; Schizosaccharomycetales; Schizosaccharomycetaceae.